This is a non-coding RNA of Podarcis muralis (Common wall lizard), 7391 nucleotides long. The record is from RefSeq and is a predicted model, not a curated record. NCBI's taxonomy places the organism in Eukaryota, Metazoa, Chordata, Lepidosauria, Squamata, Lacertidae.
CAGGUCGCCUUCCCCGGGGUUGGGUGGUGGUGGUAUUGCGCUCCCCGCCCUAGAGAGCCCUGCCUCUCUUUUUCCCCCUCCUCCUCCCCCCCCCCUCCCCACACAAAACAACGCGCUCGAGCUGAAGCUCGCUCCGGACUAGUGGGGGGGAAAGCCGAGCGAAGAUGUCGGAGCGAGCGGGCAGAGGCGGGGUGUGGAUGGGUGGGCGGGCAGCUUCGGCUGAAAGGCGCUUUCUCUGUAAGAGAAGGGCUGGGAGGCCUCGGCGGCGGAGGGAUACGGCGCGCGCGGAGGCGGGAGGAGCGAUGGAAGCGGGGGGGGGGUUGUGCGCGAGAGAGGCCCUUUGGCGGCGGUGGCGCUGGAAGUUGCUCAGUUUCAAUGUAGCCGAACUAGGAACCGAAUGAGGCAAAAAAAAUGCCCCCAGGGACCGCAGGCCCCACUGGGCGAGGCGGGCGUGAGAGGCUCCUCUCGGCCCUCGCCGUGCCAGGGCCUGCUGGGGGAGGGGGGUGAGCAGGUCGGGCCCGUCCUCUCCAGGCUUUCUCUCUUCUUCCACAUGCCUCCUUGUCGCCUUUAAAUGCUACAGAUUCCCAUCUGCUUAUAGUGGGAGACGGCGGGUUAAGACAGCAAUAUUAUUAUGAAAGCAGACAAGUGAAAAGGAUGAAAAUGGAUGCAACCUAUGGCUGGACUUGAGUUGCAGCUUUGAACGAAAAUAAGGAACCCAAGUCAACUAGGCAUCUUUCUUCACCACUUCUGUGGAGACGACCAAAAAACUACAAGGUAUUUUAAUCUUGUGCACUGAAAAUAUUUUGACUUAAUCUGAUGGAUUGUUCCAGUAGAGAGGAACUCAAGGCGAAACACACUUCCUCCAUUUUAUCUUCACAACCCUGUGAGAGACAUGCUCAUGCAAUCAUGGAACAGAGCUCAUGCCCCCAAUAUAGUUCUAACUUAAAAUUUUGCUAAGCUGAAGAAAUUGAUUCAUCAUUCCCUUUCCCAUAAAUAGAUACUGUGUUUUCACCUCUGAAUGUUGUUAGUAUCUGUGCUUAUAACAAUACAUUAUGUGACAACUAUCCCAGGCUGUGAGCCUACAACUCAGGUUGUUUACUGUUGCAAAAGUUUCACAGAACUGACCCGCAGUUGCUGCCUUUUCUUAUGUUAAUCCUACAUUAAUUUUAAUUACUUUAAGAUGUAAUGAUUUCAUUAACUAUUAACAGUUAUAACCCUCUAUUCAUGUUGGGUAGACUGAGCAAGAUAAUAUAGUGGUACAGAGAAAGCGCCCAGUAGGCAGAGUAAAACAUAAAACAAACCACUGUUAAAAUAAAUUUUUACCUUAGUGGUUUUUCUUGGCUUAGGCUCAGGUUUUGGUGGAGCUGGUUUCUAGGAAAGAAUUUCAGACAAUCCAAGCAUUAGCACAGUUGCUACCAAUUGUUUCUUAAUCUUUCCCCACUUCUUAACAUGUGACACCAAAGAAGCCAGAGGCCGUUUCUACAGAUAGGCUUCAGUCAAAAUUACCUUCUAUAUCUUAUCAAAAUGUCUGAAAGUCUGGUUCUCUGCACGUUAUAGAUGUACUGUGAGAAACAGUUUCCCGUCAUCUCCAAAAGAGGUUGCAUUUCUCUCUCUCCACACACACACACACACACACACACACACACACACACACACAAUGACCACACAUUUCUUUUCUGGAAAGGAUAUAAGGAGCCAGCCAACCAACACAACAUGUGAGUUUGGUUAUUCAGAUUCCUGUGAAUCAGGGAUGGGGAGCCUGUGGUCCCCCAUAGUUGAUGGACUCAAGUUCCAAUCAGCCCCAGCUGACAUCGCCGAUGGUCAAGGAUGAUGGGAACUGUAGUCAAACAUCUCGAAAGCCACAGGUUCCUUGUGCCUGCUAUAAAUCUCAGAAACUUUAACAACCGGAGUUUAAUAUUCUUUAAUGACUGGGGGUGCACUCCAGAUAUCCUUUACAGACUUUGGAAAAUGACAUAUUUCAUACAGAGGAAGGGGGGCACAAAUAGUUUGGAGCUAGUUCUACUACUUGCCUUAGGGGAGAGAGGCUGCAAGAGUUUGGCUGAGUAUCUAAAGCAGGAUCAGGAGUGCUGAUACCCAAUGCUGGAAGAUCUGUUCCUUCCAAUAUGCUCUAUGUGCAUAUUUGUAGGUAAAAUAAAUUAUUAUAAAAAUGCUACAGAUCUUGUGCUCAGACCAAAAGGAAACAAAACCCUUCGUAGCUGUCCCGGGGCUUCUUGCUGCUCAGGAAAGUUUGAUCGUUCCAGAAGCCCGAUUUACAUUCAAGGAUUAAACACCAAAUCUAGGUAACAUUGGCUUACCACUCGCCACACGGCAUGGCCAGUGCCACCUUGUCAAGCUUGACGUGAGAAAGAACGUGGCUUCCUAUCUACACAAACAAGCUCUUAUAAAUACUUACAGCUGACAAUCUUGCAGAUCGUCUUGUUGGCUAUAAAAAGGAAAGAAAAUAUCUUUGUAGAUUUGCAGCAGUUCACAUCCACACAAGGCAAAAAUCUGUCACUCAUUUGCCAACAAAAUAAAAUGUACCUGAAAGACAACAGAAGUCUUUAUUACCAAAUGCAAAGGUCUUUGCAUCCUGAGGGAUUAUUGUUUUACAUGUACGCGAUGUACUUGCUCAGCUUAUUUGCUUACUACGUUUUGGAAUCUUAUCUUCCUGUUUGUUUCUCUACGGUUGUGGAAACCUCUUGUGGCAAGAUCAGUGGAAAUUAUUUCUGGGACUGUGCUCCAAGGCACAUUAUGAACAAACAAAAUCUGAAACCCCCAUUCCCAAAGCCCAAGUAAGAGUGACUUGGUGGCCUUUGGAGCUUUCUAAAAAUAAUAAUGCCGUAUUCUUUGAGCACCCAAACACUGGGGAAUAAAUAAUGCACACCUAGUAAACUAGACUUUCUUGAUGUGGAAUUUGGAUUCUUUUGCAACGGAAUCUAAAGAGUCUUGAUGCUAAUGAUUGAAAUUUGAUACUAUGAUCAGAAAACAUCAGUGCUGACACGGAAUCUUUAACUUACUGCUCCUUUUGUAAACUGGAAUCUGGUGGGAGAGGAUCUUGAAAAGUCGUAACUUGUAAAUAACUGGUAGAGUUGUGCGGAAAAUCUGAGAAAGGUACAACCAGGAUUUUUAAGGGGAAUUUGUGGCUUCAUGGAUUGGCGAGUGAAGCAUCAAGCCACACAUUCAUUCAGAGGAAUUUUGAAUCGGAAGUACUUUUGCUUUCCUCUGUGACGUAAGUCAGGCCAAACUUAAAACAACAAUGUACUAUUUGUUUAUUUUAAUUAACGCUUUUAGAGAAUUUAUUGCAAGGCAGUGAACAAUAAUAUAAAGUUCGGCAUGAAACAAUGAUAUCAAAAACACUCCAAUAAAAUACUAAAAUAAUAAAAACAGGGGGCAAAGAUACAAACAACCCAAGGUUAUUAUGAUAUCACCAAGUCCAGCUGUAGAAAGCAAACCCAUCAACUGAGCUCUCCUUCAAGAAAAAGGCCAUGGCAAAAGGCAUGUCUUCAGGUGAAGACCAGCUGUGGUCCUACGGUACACAGGCACCACCAGCACAUUCUGCUGUUUUUCUGAUCUAACAAAAAUGAACCAUGAAUGGGGAUAUGGUCCCACCCAUGGAAAGCCUAUUGGAAGCUUGAGAAACUGCCAGGCAUGGUUGAGUAGGAGGGAGAAAGUCACAUUCAUCUGGGGAGGGGACAUACACAGUACUCCUGCGCCACCUAAGAGAUAACCCUUCAGGGGUAGAUCUUCACAGUGCUAGCCAUCUGUUCCCAUGCUAUAAGCAUUUGACAAUCUCGGUGCAAGCAUCCCCUGCUCCGUGUAGCACUGUCGGAACUGACAGGGCUGACCACACCUUAGGAAACAGGAAAGGGAGAACACUAUAAUAUUAGUAUUUGGUGUGCCACCUGAGGCAUGCCUGUAGCUUUUGUACCAUGUUUGUGUUUUCUAGUUGAGGAGGAUUUUCUCUUCCCCCUUCCAGGCUUGGGCAUGCACUGGACAUUUCACUGGCAAAGUAGCAAUGAUGUGAUAUGAGCACAGGACUGGUGUGAAAAACACAUUUUCUUUCCUAAAUGCGUGCAUCUCAAUCUAGUAGUCUCAUACAUGGUUGCACACAUGGAGUUGCACCUGGAGUUGCAGAAGAAAUUCUGGCCAAGUCUGAUGUUUGUGAACUACUGUGCAAGAGCUAGAGGAAUAUCGUUCAAGAGGUUGAGAAAGUUUGCUUUCCUCGCACAAGUAUCUUGCACUAAGUCAGGAAAGCUGCUGCUGCAAACUGAAGAGGCCUUCUUCGCCUUGCGGAAGGGCACCUUUUAGCACACACAGACCAUAAAUUUUCAGCUCCAGAACCAAAUUUCUUCACAUGACGUAAAUAAGCCUGCGCAGCGCACUGAGCUCCAGGUCAGAGUAACGAAGAGAAUUAUUCUACUUUAUCACACCAGUGUCAGGCUUUCCAUUUUUCCAAAAAAUGACCAUUUCAUUCAGCAGCUAUGGUUAGCCUUUUACUCUUGUUUCGAAAAAAAGUAUUUUCUUCCACACAGUCAUCUUAAAAAAACAACAACAACUACACAACACAACUUUGCCUCCAGCCAAUUACCCUCACAUGCUUCACAAAUUUUUACAUUUCUCAUUUCCACAAUUAACAUUCAGGUUUUUUAAGUUCAAAUAUGCCCUCUAGAGAACAUUAAAAGUGCUUCAGAAGAGAAGCAAUUCAUUGUUAAUUAUCCCAGGCACUUGGUUUUGUAAAUAAAAUUUGUUCUUUCAGAUUGGUAACUUCUUUGAAAAUAAGGACAUUCAUACAUUGAUCCGAUCAGGAAAAGCAUUCCCUUACUGCGCGUAAGUAAAUCAAAUGUUAGCGAAAAUGCCUGCAGUUUUGAGACUAGCUUAAUGCAUCGAUUGCUUUUAAAUGAGUGUAAGUGCUAAAAGUUGGGGUUUUUUUGUUGGCUACUUAGGUCACAAUGUGUCAUCUCUUAAACAAACGUAUCCUGCACCCACCUGCUAUCAUCUACACUGGCACUAAAUGGAACCUUGUAUAAGCGUUAAGGUUGCACAAUUCUGCAAAAAGUUGUGUGUAGGAAGCUGUCAAACUAUUGGUCUAUCUAUUCUGUACUGUCCUCACUGACUGGCAGUGACUCUCCAGGAUUUCAGAGGGGACAUUCCCAUCCCCAAGUGGAGAUGUUGAGGAUCGAACCUGGAACCUUCUGCAUGCAAAGCAGAUGCUCUGCCACUGAACUAUGGCCCCUACCUGAUAAAUACAGUCUGCAUGGAACUGUAUACAGUGUGCCUGCAACUUAUGUGUGUUUAACUUGCAUGCAUUCAGCUUUAUGUGCUUGGCAAAAAAAUAAAAACGGGGAUGGGCAUCUGGGAAAAAAGUCUUUGGCAAUCUCACUUGCACCCAAUGUGUUUUAACUAUGCAUUAUUUUGACUUUAGAUGCAAUCCCCAGAACGUAGCCCCUGCGUAAGUUCCAGGCUUAUAGAAACAGGAACAAUGAUAAACUCUCACCAUGCUGCUGUUUUCUACCUACCUGUCUGAUUUGCGCAAGUCUAUCAGCUGUGCUUCCCAGGAAGAAAAUGUUUUUUAAAGAAAUCUCCUGAAUUUAAAUGCAGUGUUGCUAUGAGCCAGUGACGAGACAAAAUGUAUUGAUAAGCCUUGCCUUAUUAACUGCUUCAAUUACCAUUACUGCUGACUGAAGGGGAAAAAUAUUCCCAAACCAGGCCAAUAGCUCAGCAAUUGUAGGUGUGGAAAAAUGAUUUUUAAAAUACAAUUGGCCUGGCUGCUCUCAUCCUCUCCAACACAGAGAAAGACACAACAGAACUGAGAGAAUAUUUUGGACUUCUGGCUCCUACAGUUCUAAACAUGUCUCUAGUUUUCCUUUCCUCCUUUUGUUCCCUUUUAACUGCAAAAUGAAAAUGCCUCUUAUAAUGCUAUCCAAGGCAUGCCUACUCAGAAGUAAGUUCCCUGGGGAUCACUCCUAGAGAAGCGGGAUCAAAAUGGCAGCCUUAAUGGAUUUUCUGACCAAAUAUAUUUUGUAAACUCGGUACAGUAUGUUGUCCUCAUUUUGUUGAAGCUGUGAUUACUCGUAUCUGCUUUUUCAAAAGUUAUUUAUAUAGUAGUACAGUAUUAGCAAACAGAUUUCCCCACCAUCUGAAACAUGAAAAAUUGGACGUUUUCAUAAAGAUUUCUGAGUUGUUGUGCGCAAUUAAAAAUCCUGCACCUACAUUGGUCCACAUUUCUAGGGAAUUAUUUCCUAAGCACUACACUUCACAAAAACAGACAGACAGUCUAACACAGGUAGUGGAGAUUUCUCCUAAUGACAGAGUAACAUGUGAAUAGGGCUUCUAUCUAGCCUAUGAAAUACCUUUAACAAGUCCAUAAAUUUAUUCUAACCUUCUAAAGUAGGCAUCAGAAUUACAUAUGUAUUUAAUAUAUGUAUAUUAUGGGGUGUGGGUUGUUUAAAUGUUCGCCCCAGAAUUUUGACUAGCACCUCUGGGCAUGGCAAAUAAAGCAUUUUAUUUUUUUAAAGAAACCAGGAGUUUUCUCAAACCACACAUUCAGUUUUCAGAGUGGGAUGAUAGAUCAAAAGCACUACCACAAUACUCUGUAUUUCAAAAAACCAAUGGGAAUCUCACUAGUUUAGUUUGUUGAUAUACUGACUAUUACUCUCCAUGGGACAUAAAAAUUCUGCAAUCACAGAAAGCCUAGGCAAACUCAACCAGCUUUUUACUUACUAUGGACAUUCUUCCUAAAACAACCCAUGAAAAUUACAAAUAACAAUGCUACUGUGUGACUUUUAAACAUCAGGAAGGUUUUAAAAAGUAUUAAAAUAGAAAAACUACUAGCAUUCAAUAGAUUCUGAAAUAUUCAAUGUAUGUAUAUUGUAUAUAGGUAUGGAAUGCAUCUUUCAUCAAUUACCUAAUAAGCAUUAAUACAAGCCCUCUUUUUCGAUGUAUAAAAACUACAUGCUUGCAUGGGCUCAAUAAAAUUUUCACAUUUAAAAUUUAAACCUUUACCAUAUCCUGUGAUUUGAACUGGAUGGUUGUUUUUUUCUGAUGCACCCUAAAUAUUUACAGUGUGAUCUGCUUUAACAUGUUUGAUUUAUUUCGGGGAAGGAUUAAAAAAAGUAACUCUCUCCAAGCAGCAGGUAUAUAAACAGUAAGUAGUAUUUGAUUCAAGAAUAAAGAAUGCACACUUAAAUGUAGCUUAAGUGUAAUAUGUAAACAACAGGAUAUGCUUCCAUUCCAUUUUAGCAAUUUUAACAAUUUUAGGUUUGGUGCUAAUCUGACCUGCACAGCCAAUUAGGCAAAUUUGCAGUAUGAAUUUGAGUUUGGUUUUGUAUAUAUGCACUUGUUUGUACCUCUAUCUAAAAAUCAACAAAGCAUGUUAUGUGCUCUCUAACACA